UGGGGAAUUUUGGACAAUGGGCGAAAGCCUGAUCCAGCAAUGCCGCGUGUGUGAAGAAGGCCUUCGGGUUGUAAAGCACUUUUGUCCGGAAAGAAAUCCUUGGCUCUAAUACAGUCGGGGGAUGACGGUACCGGAAGAAUAAGCACCGGCUAACUACGUGCCAGCAGCCGCGGUAAUACGUAGGGUGCAAGCGUUAAUCGGAAUUACUGGGCGUAAAGCGUGCGCAGGCGGUUUGCUAAGACCGAUGUGAAAUCCCCGGGCUCAACCUGGGAACUGCAUUGGUGACUGGCAGGCUAGAGUAUGGCAGAGGGGGGUAGAAUUCCACGUGUAGCAGUGAAAUGCGUAGAGAUGUGGAGGAAUACCGAUGGCGAAGGCAGCCCCCCUGGGCCAAAUACUGACGCUCAUGCACGAAAGCGUGGGGAGCAAACAGGAUUAGAUACCCCUGGUAGUCCACGCCCUAAACGAUGUCAACUAGUUGUUGGGGAUUCAUUUCCUUAGUAACGUAGCUAACGCGUGAAGUUGACCGCCUGGGGAGUACGGUCGCAAGAUUAAAACUCAAAUGAAUUGACGGGGUCAUAGCUG
RNAcentral lists this ribosomal RNA (582 nucleotides) under uncultured bacterium. Its description in RNAcentral is "partial 16S ribosomal RNA". It matches the Rfam family "Bacterial small subunit ribosomal RNA", at positions 355 to 932 of the family's 1533-position model. The record is from RNAcentral.